ACGAACGCUGGCGGCGUGCCUAAUACAUGCAAGUCGAACGGUCUUUCUAUGGAAGCUUGCUUCCACUGAGAAGAUAGUGGCGAACGGGUGAGUAACACGUGGGUAACCUGCCCAUAAGAGGGGGAUAACAUCCGGAAACGGGUGCUAAUACCGCAUAGUUUUCUUGAUCACAUGAUUGAGAAAGGAAAGACGGCCUUUGUGCUGUCGCUUAUGGAUGGACCCGCGGCGUAUUAGUUAGUUGGUGAGGUAACGGCUCACCAAGACGAUGAUACGUAGCCGACCUGAGAGGGUGAUCGGCCACAUUGGGACUGAGACACGGCCCAAACUCCUACGGGAGGCAGCAGUAGGGAAUCUUCCGCAAUGGACGAAAGUCUGACGGAGCAACGCCGCGUGAGUGAAGAAAGGUUUUCGGAUCGUAAAACUCUGUUGUCAGAGAAGAACAAGUUGGAGAGUAACUGCUCCAGCCUUGACGGUAUCUGACCAGAAAGCCACGGCUAACUACGUGCCAGCCGCGGC
Molecule: ribosomal RNA, 516 nt
Filed under: uncultured bacterium
Lineage: Bacteria
Description: bacterial SSU rRNA
Rfam family: Bacterial small subunit ribosomal RNA
Source: RNAcentral